GGCACUGUGAACAGGCUGAAGGGAGGGAGGAGGGAGGAUAGUGAGUGAGGGAUGGGGAGAUUGCCGGACCGAGCGGAUAGAAGUGUUACUACAGAGCUGCUGCUGCUGCUGCUGCUGGAGGACGGGCUGGGAGCCGAGGAUAAUGCUCCAUCCCUCAGCGUACGGCGGCACGCCGGACAGCUUCUAAUUUCUUGUGGCGGCGGCGGCGGCUGUGGAGGAGGAGGAGGCUCUUCAUUGUUGCAGCAGUGAUUGUCUUUUUCUUUUUUUUCUCCCCCUUUAACCAGUCUUCUUCUUCUUCAUCAUCAUCUUCCUGCUCGCCCCUCCUCACUCCUUAUUCCUCUGCAACUGGCAACCGCUGGGCUCCCCCCUCCUCUUUUCUACUUCUGUCCCCUUUUCCAGAAGAGGGAUUUCUGUAUUUCAUCAGGGAUUGUAGAAGCCAAUCACGUAUUUAUUUGGUGUUUCUGGUGUGGAUUUGAGUGUCGUCUCUCACGCCGGUGCUGAAAAUCCUGAAACAGCACGCGGAGCCGACCGGGAGCCACCUGAGACAGAUCUGUUAUCUUGCUCGGCUUGUACUCGAACACAGCGCUGCAUCACUGAUGCUCUGAAGUGGCUUCUCAGCUCUCUCAGGGUGUCUCUCUGGGAAUGAUGGUGUCGCCACUGGUGCCGCCCUCUGUGUCGCCAUGACGAUGCCGUUCAGCCCCCUGUCCAGCGACGAGGAGCAACAAAGGAUGCUGGGAAACAAUCGACAUCUCUAUCCAGGGGCAGAGGACGAGGAAGAGGAGGAGGAAGAGGAGGAGGAGGAAAUGGAAGAAGAUGAGCACGACGAGG
Long non-coding RNA from Larimichthys crocea (large yellow croaker), 828 nucleotides. RefSeq lists it as uncharacterized. Lineage: Eukaryota; Metazoa; Chordata; Actinopteri; Sciaenidae. The transcript is spliced from 3 exons. The record is from RefSeq and is a predicted model, not a curated record.